Culex quinquefasciatus (southern house mosquito) is the source of this 384-nucleotide long non-coding RNA. RefSeq lists it as uncharacterized. The transcript has 3 exons. The record is from RefSeq and is a predicted model, not a curated record. Lineage: Eukaryota; Metazoa; Arthropoda; Insecta; Diptera; Culicidae.
UUGACCCACAUUUAGUACACAAAAUGACCCAAAUUCUAGCCAUGCCUUUGACGCUUUUUGGUGAACAAACCGCCAUUAAGCUCCGUUCGAUUGAAAUUGACCGUUUCGUGGAUAGUGCAACACAAAAAGUUUUUUCGAAACCGAAACCAGCAGCUACCAGCAUAAUAUGUGCUGCUAUGCACCAACUAAGACUGAGGAACAACAACAAAAGACAGUUAUCAAUUUACCCAAAACCCCAAAAAUAACAAGAAAACAAACCGUUUUUAAUCCUUGAAAAAGGCAAUAAAUUUGCCGAAACGUCGGAAAUUGAAACAAUACAUUGUUUUCACUGCUAAAUGACUGAAAGCCGAAAACCAAAUCCAAAAUUGUAGAGUAACAGUCGAG